AUGUGGCAGCCAGCAGCAUGGCAGACGCGUGUAGAUAAGAUUUUAACUGAAAGAAGAGAAGAUUUUCAAGACAUCAGUGUGCCAGUGCAAGAUGACCUUUCCAAAGUAGAGGAGAGUUCUGAAAUUUCUCCAGAGCCUCAAACACAAAUGAAGACACUGAGAUGGGCAAUUUCACAAUUUGCUUUAGUAGAAAGGAUUGUAGAAGAUAAAUAUUUCUGUGAAAAUUGCCAUCAUUACACUGAAGCUGAACGAAGUCUUUUGUUUGACAAAAUGCCUGAGGUUAUAACUAUUCAUUUGAAGUGCUUUGCUGCUAGUGGCUUGGAGUUUGAUUGUUACGGUGGUAGACUUCACUUGUCAACAUUCCUUUGUUGACACCUCUUAAGUUGUCACUAGAAGAAUGGAGCACGAAGCCGACCAAUGACAGCUACGGGUUAUUUGUGGUCGUGAUGCACAGUGGCAUUACUAUUAGUAGUGGGCAUUACACUGCUUCUGUGAAAGUUACUGACAUUAACAGUUUAGAAAUAGAUAAGGGAAAUUUUGUGGUUGACCAAAUGUGUGAUAUAGGUAAGCCAGACCAUUGAGUGAGGAAGAAGCAAGGGGUGUGGUUGACAAUUAUGACAAUGAAGUGUCCAUUAGAGUUGGUGGAAAUAUGCAGUCAAGUAAAGUUUUGAACAAAAAAAAUGUAGAAGCUAUUGGACUUCUUGGAGGACAAAAGAGCAAAGCAGAUUAUGAACUACACAACAAAGCAUCUAAUUCUGAUAAGGCUGCCAGUGCAGUGUUGGCUGAAAGUAGAAAUUCUGAGACUAACAGUAUUAAUGGGACCCAUAAAUCUGAUAGCAAUAAGGAAUCCAGUGACCAAACAGGUAUUAAUAUUAAUGGAUUUGAGAACAAGAUUUCCUAUAUAGUGCAAAGCUUAAAGGCGUAUGAGGGGAAGUGGUUGCUUUUUGAUGAUUCUGAAGUGAAAGUUACAGAAGAGAAGGACUUUCUGAAUUCUCUUUCCCCUUCUACAUCUCCUACAUCUACUCCUUACUUGCUAUUUUAUAAGAAAUUACAGAGUUGAGUGUAUUGUCUUUGUGUAUAUAUUAAACAGACCUGCACAAACAUUGGUAAAAUUGAUUACAUCAAAGUUUUUAGCUUAUCUUUUGAAGCUACUGGGUAUUAUUUAGUCUCUCUAGGUUUUUAUAUAAAGAGUGAAAUUUGAAUUACUGAAAACCAUGUUAAUUUUUAAAAUUCCUUAGUAGAGACUAGUGAUGCAUUAGCUUCUGGGAACAAACUUGUAUAGGUUCUUAAUUGAAUUAUCCAAAAUGGAAGCAUUUAAACACUUCUGGAUUCACACCAGUCUUUUGUGUUUGCUUUUUAAAAUAAAGUGCUUAUAUUUAUAUUCUCCAUAUUAUGGAGUAAU
Nycticebus coucang (slow loris) is the source of this 1402-nucleotide RNA transcript. It is a transcript of the gene named ubiquitin carboxyl-terminal hydrolase 1-like, with no coding region annotated. The transcript has 3 exons. The record is from RefSeq and is a predicted model, not a curated record. NCBI's taxonomy places the organism in Eukaryota, Metazoa, Chordata, Mammalia, Primates, Lorisidae.